AUCCGGUAAGUAAGGCUACCGCAGGGAUAUGGAUUGCUGCCGCGAAGUGGUGGAGACACCAUGAGAGGGUCAACAGGUGAUAUCGAAGCACAAGGUAUUCUAACGCAAUUGCACCGCCCUGCGAAGCUGAAGCUCGAACGGUGC
This 144-nucleotide small RNA is filed under the name bovine gut metagenome. RNAcentral describes it as "M-box riboswitch (ykoK leader)". It matches the Rfam family "M-box riboswitch aptamer (ykoK leader)", at positions 11 to 156 of the family's 169-position model. Rfam says of the family: M-box riboswitch, also know as ykoK leader is described as a metaloregulatory RNA that sense divalent metals and function as a genetic control element of genes related to divalent metal transport in bacteria. It was first reported upstream of the B.subtilis ykoK gene and genes with related functions in other bacteria. The record is from RNAcentral.